Molecule: ribosomal RNA, 482 nt
Filed under: uncultured bacterium
Lineage: Bacteria
Description: partial 16S ribosomal RNA
Rfam family: Bacterial small subunit ribosomal RNA
Source: RNAcentral
AUUGAACGCUGGCGGCAUGCUUUACACAUGCAAGUCGAACGGCAGCGCGGGGCAACCUGGCGGCGAGUGGCGAACGGGUGAGUAAUAUAUCGGAACGUACCCAGAAGUGGGGGAUAACGUAGCGAAAGUUACGCUAAUACCGCAUACGAUCUACGGAUGAAAGUAGGGGACCGCAAGGCCUUAUGCUUUUGGAGCGGCCGAUAUCUGAUUAGCUAGUUGGUGAGGUAAAGGCUCACCAAGGCGACGAUCAGUAGCUGGUCUGAGAGGACGACCAGCCACACUGGAACUGAGACACGGUCCCGACUCCUACGGGAGGCAGCAGUGGGGAAUUUUGGACAAUGGGCGCAAGCCUGAUCCAGCCAUGCCGCGUGAGUGAAGAAGGCCUUCGGGUUGUAAAGCUCUUUUGUCAGGGAAGAAACGGUAGAGGCUAAUAUCCUUUGGUAAUGACGGUACCUGAAGAAUAAGCACCGGCUAACUACGUG